RNAcentral lists this ribosomal RNA (253 nucleotides) under uncultured bacterium. RNAcentral's name for it is "partial 16S ribosomal RNA". It matches the Rfam family "Bacterial small subunit ribosomal RNA", at positions 524 to 776 of the family's 1533-position model. The record is from RNAcentral.
UACGUAGGGGGCAAGCGUUGUCCGGAAUCAUUGGGCGUAAAGAGCGUGUAGGCGGCUCGGUAAGUCCGCUCUGAAAGCCCGGGGCUCAACCCCGGGAGGCGGGCGGAUACUGUCGGGCUAGAGUCCGGAAGAGGCGAGUGGAAUUCCUGGUGUAGCGGUGAAAUGCGCAGAUAUCAGGAAGAACACCCGUGGCGAAAGCGGCUCUCUGGAACGGUACUGACGCUGAGACGCGAAAGCGUGGGGAGCGAACAGG